Molecule: ribosomal RNA, 300 nt
Filed under: uncultured Ignicoccus sp.
Lineage: Archaea; Thermoproteati; Thermoproteota; Thermoprotei; Desulfurococcales; Desulfurococcaceae
Description: bacterial SSU rRNA
Rfam family: Bacterial small subunit ribosomal RNA
Source: RNAcentral
GUAGGUAGGUGCGAGGGGCCGGGGUAAUACGUAGGGGGCGGGCGUGGUCCGGAGUAAUGGGGCGUAAAGAGCUCGUGGGCGGUUCAGUAAGUCGGGGGGGAAAGCUCCGAGCUCAACUCGGAGAGGCCACCCGAUACUGCUGUGACUAGAAUCCAGUAGGGGAGUGUGGAACUCCUGGUGUAGCGGUGAAAUGCGCAGAUAUCAGGAAGAACACCAGCGGCGAAGGCGGCACUCUGGGCUGGUAUUGACGCUGAGGAGCGAAAGUGUGGGUAGCAAACAGGAUUAGAUACCCGAGUAGUC